RNAcentral lists this unclassified non-coding RNA (348 nucleotides) under soil metagenome. RNAcentral describes it as "partial contains 5.8S ribosomal RNA, internal transcribed spacer 2, and large subunit ribosomal RNA". The stretch from base 1 to 120 matches the Rfam family "5.8S ribosomal RNA", at positions 35 to 154 of the family's 154-position model. The record is from RNAcentral.
GAUGAAGAACGCAGCGAAAUGCGAUAAGUAAUGUGAAUUGCAGAAUUCAGUGAAUCAUCGAAUCUUUGAACGCACAUUGCGCCCGCCAGUAUUCUGGCGGUCAUGCCUGUCUGAGCGUCAUUUCAACCCUCAUGCCCCUAGGGCGUGGUGUUGGGGAUCGGCCAAAGCCCGCGAGGGACGGCCCGCCCCUAAAUCUAGUGGCGGACCCGUCGUGGCCUCCUCUGCGAAGUAGUGAUAUUCCGCAUCGGAGAGCGACGAGCCCCUGCCGUUAAACCCCCAACUUUCCAAGGUUGACCUCAGAUCAGGUAGGAAUACCCGCUGAACUUAAGCAUAUCAAUAAGCGGAGGA